RNA transcript from Oncorhynchus kisutch (coho salmon), 2648 nucleotides. It is a transcript of the gene named spindle and kinetochore-associated protein 2, with no coding region annotated. Lineage: Eukaryota; Metazoa; Chordata; Actinopteri; Salmoniformes; Salmonidae. The record is from RefSeq and is a predicted model, not a curated record. The transcript has 5 exons.
UGUUGUGUCGUCCGCAAACUUGAUGAUUGAGUUGAAUUGAUAUUGGAUGCCAACCGCCGUUAAUCAUCGAAGAAGAAAUAUAGCGAGUCCAUGAAUCGGCGAAUGCGAACCAGUUGUUAUUCUAGUGAUGGAACAUGAGUAGAUUAAUUUGAUAACAACGGUCGGACAUCUUGAACGCAGUCUCCAAUUCUUAUUUUACCACAGUAAAUCCAUCCAGUGUCCAGAACGCCAUUUUAUGAACUCUCCCUUUUCCCCUUACUGCGGUGCCGCUCAAUUGACCAAUCUGCGGCCACUAUUUCUAACAGGUAACCAAUCACAGCAGGCUUUACAUGAAUCAGACCAGUGGCUUUAUAUUCACGGGGCUGCAUGAGGAAUGUAAACUAUUUAACAUGGAGACAGCAGUUGAUAAACUGGAGGCGAUGUUCCAGAAGGCAGAGGCUGACAUGGAGUACAUGGAGAAACGGCUGAGGCUGGAAUUCCUGACAAGUGCUCCAGAGAACGGUGCAGCAGAGGAAAACCCUGUGAAGCUGCUGGAGAACCUGUCUGCCAUCAAGGUGAGGCAUGCGGCCUUGUGCACACAAGUACAGGAGAUUGCAGCUGAGCAGAAGCAGUCAAUGGACUCCAUUCGAGCACACCUCGACACCACUGUGCAGCUGGUGCAACAGUUACAGCAGACUGCUGACAUUGAGAUUCCACCACUGACAAAGAUGGAGCAGGAGUCUGCAGAUUUCCUUGGUUUAUCAGUCAAUCAAAACACAGCAGAGGUAAGGCCAUUUGCUCGCGCUAAGAUGUCAUUGCAUACAGGAGCAGAGCGUACAGAGAAACUAUUUUUGACAGAUGUCAUUCCGUGGAACACCAUCUAUGCCAUUGUAUGUGCACUGCUUCUUAUAGUCCAAUUUUACGUCUCUUGCCAUUCAGAGAAAUAUAAAGCUUGACGGCUCAGGAUUUCUCGUAAACUGAACAAAAAUAAACGCAAUAUGCAAAAAUUUCAAAGAUUUUGCUGAGUUAGUUCAUAAGGAAAUCGGUCAAUUGAAAUAAAUAAAUUAGGCUCUAAUCUAUGGAUUUCACAUGACUGGGAAUACAGAUAUGAAUCUGGUCACAGAUACCGUAGAAACAACGUAGGGUCGUGGAUCAAAUAAACCAGUAUCUGGUGUGAUCACCAUUUGCCUCCUGCAUUGCGACGUCUCCUUUGUAAAGAGUUAAAUCAGGCUGUUGAUUGUGGCCUGUGGAAUGUUGUCCCACUCUUCAAUGGCUGUGUGUGAAGUUGCUGGAUAUUGGCAAAAACUGGAACACGCUGUCGUACACGUCGAUCUAGAUUAUUCCAAACAUGCUCAAUGGAUGACAUGUCAGGUGAAUAUGCAGGCCAUGGAAGAACUGUGACAUUUUCAGCUUCCAGGAAUUGUGUAUAGAUCCUUGCGCUGUGGGGCUGUACAUUAUCAUACUGAAACAGGUAGUGAUGGCAUUGGAUGAAUGACACGACAAUGGGCCUCAGGAUCUCAUCACGGUAUCUUUUUGCAUUCAAAUUACCAUCGAUAAAAUGCAAUUGUGUUUGUUGUCCAUAGCUUAUGCCUGCCUAAGCCAUAACCCCACCACUACCACUGUUCACAACGUUGACAUCAAACUGCUUUCCCGCACAAUGCCAUACACGCCAUCUCCCCAAUACAGUUGAAACUGGGAUACAUCCGUGAAGAGCACACUUCUCCAUCGUACCACUGGCCAUCGAAGGUGAGCAUUUUCCCACUGAAGUCGAACUGCAGUCAGGUUAAGACCCUGGUGAGGACAACGAGCAGGUAGUUGAGCCACUGAGACGAUUUCUGACAUUUUGUUCAAAAUGUUUCAUCAGCUGUCUGGGUAGCUGGUCUCGGAUGAUCCCGCAGGUGAAGAAGCCAGAUGUGGAGGUCCUGGGCUGGCGUGGUUACACCUGGUUAUCAUACACGUGGUCUGUGUUUGAGGCCGGUUGGAUGUAGUACCAAAUGAUCUAAAACGACGUUGGAGGUGGCUUAUAGUAGAGAUAUGAACGUGAAAUUCUGGCAAACAUUCCUGGGAUCUUUUAUUUCAGCUCAUGAAACAUGGGACCAACACUUUACAUGUUGCAUUUCAUAUUUUUGUUCAGUAGGAUAUACACAUUGUAAUAACUAAUAUGCCAAUGUUUGUCUGUUCAGUUACUGAUGUCUAUGGAGCCUUCAGUCCAAGAGCAGCCUCAGUUGGUGCCCUGAGUUUGCAGCAGAUGAACAUGACGGUUAGCGACGCCAAGCUGAAGACGUUGCAGCAUCUCUCUGGACAAGAAAGGGCACCUUUGCCUGCUAAUGAGUGGGGAACUGGCACAUGUUAGCCUAUUUGAAGGGUUCUGAUGCCUACUUAUGCUUUGAUUUGAUUUCUUUUGCUAGUUAUUUUAAAAUGACACAAUCUGAAACAAUUGACCAGAAGCAAGAACUCCAGAUGAAACCAACUCACCACAAUGUUUGAGGUGCUGUAAGUGGAAGGUGACGGGCCAUAUUGUAAAUUAGAUGCACUAUUUUUGAAGGUUCUCUGACUGUGGCUAAUGCAUCAGUUGAAUGCGUUUCACCUGUAAAUAUGUUAAUGAUUACUUUCCAACUGUACGUCAAUGUAUUAUGAUGCUUCAUUAAAAUGAAAUUCCCUCUAAGGUA